GGAGGCGUGGCCGAGCGGUUUAAGGCACCGGUCUUGAAAACCGGCAAGGGUUCGCCCUUCGUGAGUUCGAAUCUCACCGCCUCCGCCA
RNAcentral lists this transfer RNA (88 nucleotides) under Betaproteobacteria bacterium. RNAcentral's name for it is "tRNA-Ser". It matches the Rfam family "tRNA". From Rfam's summary of the family: Transfer RNA (tRNA) molecules are approximately 80 nucleotides in length. Their secondary structure includes four short double-helical elements and three loops (D, anti-codon, and T loops). Further hydrogen bonds mediate the characteristic L-shaped molecular structure. tRNAs have two regions of fundamental functional importance: the anti-codon, which is responsible for specific mRNA codon recognition, and the 3' end, to which the tRNAs corresponding amino acid is attached (by aminoacyl-tRNA synthetases). tRNAs cope with the degeneracy of the genetic code in two manners: having more than one tRNA (with a specific anti-codon) for a particular amino acid; and 'wobble' base-pairing, i.e. permitting non-standard base-pairing at the 3rd anti-codon position. The record is from RNAcentral. Lineage: Bacteria; Pseudomonadati; Pseudomonadota; Betaproteobacteria. RNAcentral also lists the same sequence under 3 other names.